AACAGUUAUAUUCAGUAAGAAUCAUAUCAACUAAUUCAUAAAGUAACUAUAACCUCCCCCUACUUGCAAAAUUACACGAACAUUACUAAUAUUUUAGCUGGAAAUCACGAGAUUCGACUUACGCGGAAAUUCGAGAUACGCGGUAUUUUGCGGCCGUUUUCGGUCCCCAUUAACCGUGUAUCUCGGGGACCGCCUGUAUAUAUGAUACAAUUAGAACUCGCUAAUUGCAUUUAUAUCAUAUGUCUACAAAAAAUUAGAUUUUGUUUAUUAAAAAGACAUUUUUUAUGCAACACGACUAAUGUCUGCGUAUUUUUUCAUGUUUAUUAUUUUAUACAAUGUGGAUUAACUGACUUUUUCUCAUAUUUAUAUGAACAACUCGGAUUUUUUGUAUUCAAUUGAAAAAGCAGUCUUGCAAUUGGCGAGGUUUGAAUGUAUUUCACUUCGUUACAUGACAGCUCGCAUAUUUGUCAAGUUAGAACCGUAAACAAACACGGGCAACCGCCCGUAAAGAUUGUGAGCAGAAUAAUCGUGAAAUUUUAUGUGAAAACUCGGGAAAAGGAAAAACAUAAUUUCAUCCCGAAAUUUGGCAACAUUCGUCCGAGUAUGGUUGAGCAGCUGUGUGUGUGUGUGUGUGUAUGCAGACGGAAUACGACGCCGUUUCUACAUCAAUCACUAAAGCCGGCUGUGAUCGUGAUCGGCACAUUCUCAACUGGACCAACACACCGGUCGUUGUGUAUCUUCAAGCAAACUAACGUUGCCAUACACCACAAAAUAGCAUGGAAAGGA
Anopheles gambiae (African malaria mosquito) is the source of this 786-nucleotide long non-coding RNA. RefSeq lists it as uncharacterized. The transcript has 3 exons. NCBI's taxonomy places the organism in Eukaryota, Metazoa, Arthropoda, Insecta, Diptera, Culicidae. The record is from RefSeq and is a predicted model, not a curated record.